RNAcentral lists this ribosomal RNA (254 nucleotides) under uncultured bacterium. RNAcentral describes it as "partial 16S ribosomal RNA". It matches the Rfam family "Bacterial small subunit ribosomal RNA", at positions 524 to 776 of the family's 1533-position model. The record is from RNAcentral.
UACGGGGGGAGCAAGCGUUGUUCGGAUUUACUGGGCGUAAAGGGCGCGUAGGCGGCCACGACAAGUCACUUGUGAAAUCUCCGGGCUUAACUCGGAACGGUCAAGUGAUACUGUCGGGCUAGAGUGCAGAAGGGGCAACUGGAAUUCUCGGUGUAGCGGUGAAAUGCGUAGAUAUCAAGAGGAACACCUGCGGCGAAGGCGGGUUGCUGGGCCGACACUGACGCUGAGGCGCGAAAGCUAGGGGAGCGAACGGG